UACGUAGGCGGUUUAUUAAGUCAGAUGUGUAAGCCCCGGGCUUAACCUGGGAACUGCAUUUGAUACUGGUAAACUAGAGUAUGGUAGAGGGGGUAGAAUUCCUAGUGUAGCGGUGAAAUGCGUAGAUAUUAGGAGGAAUACCAGUGGCGAAGGCGGCCCCCCUGGACCAAUACUGACGCUGAGGUACGAAAGCGUGGGUAGCGAACA
This 207-nucleotide ribosomal RNA is filed under the name uncultured bacterium. Its description in RNAcentral is "partial 16S ribosomal RNA". It matches the Rfam family "Bacterial small subunit ribosomal RNA", at positions 568 to 774 of the family's 1533-position model. The record is from RNAcentral.